AAUCAACGCUGGCGGCGUGCCUAACACAUGCAAGUCGAACGCCAAAGCCCCGCAAGGGGUAAGUAGCGUGGCAAACGGGUGAGUAACACGUGGGCGACCUACCUCAGAGUGGGGGAUAACCUUCCGAAAGGGAGGCUAAUACCGCAUGACAUCCUAUGUUUGGAUACAUGGAGAUCAAAGCCGGGGAUCGCAAGACCUGGCGCUUGGAGAGGGGCCCGCGUCCGAUUAGCAGUUGGUGAGGUAACGGCUCACCAAGGCUUCGAUCGGUAUCCGGCCUGAGAGGGCGGACGGACACACUGGGACUGAGACACGGCCCAGACUCCUACGGGAGGCAGCAGUAAGGAAUAUUGGUCAAUGGACGCAAGUCUGAACCAGCCAUGCCGCGUGAAGGAUGAAGGUCCUCUGGAUUUGUAAACUUCUUUUAUGUGGGACGAAAUGCUAUUUUUUCUAAAGUUGUUUGACGGUACCAUAGGAAUAAGCACCGGCUAACUCUGUGCCAGCCGCCGC
RNAcentral lists this ribosomal RNA (507 nucleotides) under uncultured bacterium. Its description in RNAcentral is "bacterial SSU rRNA". It matches the Rfam family "Bacterial small subunit ribosomal RNA", at positions 32 to 518 of the family's 1533-position model. The record is from RNAcentral.